GCCGGGAUGGCGGAAUUGGUAGACGCGCACGAUUCAGGGUCGUGUACCCCUACGGGUGUGCAGGUUCAAGUCCUGUUCCCGGCACCA
RNAcentral lists this transfer RNA (87 nucleotides) under Allomeiothermus silvanus. RNAcentral's name for it is "Meiothermus silvanus tRNA-Leu". It matches the Rfam family "tRNA". Rfam says of the family: Transfer RNA (tRNA) molecules are approximately 80 nucleotides in length. Their secondary structure includes four short double-helical elements and three loops (D, anti-codon, and T loops). Lineage: Bacteria; Thermotogati; Deinococcota; Deinococci; Thermales; Thermaceae. RNAcentral also lists the same sequence under 1 other name. The record is from RNAcentral.